CAGUAGCCGCGGGAAUACGUAGGGUGCGAGCGUUAAUCGGAAUUACUGGGCGUAAAGCGUGCGCAGGCGGUUCGUUAAGACAGAUGUGAAAUCCCCGGGCUUAACCUGGGAACUGCAUUUGUGACUGGCGAGCUCGAGUACGGUAGAGGGGGAUGGAAUUCCGCGUGUAGCAGUGAAAUGCGUAGAUAUGCGGAGGAACACCGAUGGCGAAGGCAAUCCCCUGGACCUGUACUGACGCUGAUGCACGAAAGCUAGGGGAGCAAACAGGAUUAGAUACCCGUGUAGUCCCUGUCUCUUAUAC
This 301-nucleotide ribosomal RNA is filed under the name uncultured bacterium. RNAcentral's name for it is "partial 16S ribosomal RNA". It matches the Rfam family "Bacterial small subunit ribosomal RNA", at positions 509 to 807 of the family's 1533-position model. The record is from RNAcentral.